AUGGCCCUCGACCUGCCGCCCUGGUUCUUUAAGUGCAUCGACAAACUUCGCAGAGGAUUCUUCUGGCGUGGAGUGGAAGAUGCAAAGGGAGGUUGUUGCCUCGUCGCCUGGCAUAUCGUCUGCUCGCCCAAACCCUACGGCGGCCUGGGCGUCCUCAACCUAAAACUGCUAAACCAAGCCCUGCGCUUACGAUGGCUUUGGCUGCAGAAGACAAUGUUGGGCAAACCAUGGGGUGGCAUGAGUGUCGUCGUCUCGGCGGAA
This 261-nucleotide ribosomal RNA is filed under the name Triticum aestivum (bread wheat). Its description in RNAcentral is "partial small subunit ribosomal RNA". The record is from RNAcentral. Lineage: Eukaryota; Viridiplantae; Streptophyta; Magnoliopsida; Poales; Poaceae.